UCGAGGAUCUUCGUCAAUGGGGGCAACCCUGAACGAGCGAUGCCGCGUGCGCGAUGAAGGCCUUCGGGUUGUAAAGCGCGAAAGUGGGGAGAAAAGCCGAAAGGUUUGAUCUAUCCACAGUAAGCUCGGGCUAAGUUCGUGCCAGCAGCCGCGGUAAGACGAACCGAGCGAACGUUGUUCGGAAUCACUGGGCUUAAAGGGCGCGUAGGCGGGCUGUCAAGUCUGGGGUGAAAUCCCGCGGCUCAACCGUGGAACUGCCUCAGAUACUGACGGCCUCGAGGGAGGUAGGGGCGAGCGGAACUAAUGGUGGAGCGGUGAAAUGCGUUGAUAUCAUUAGGAACUCCGGUGGCGAAGGCGGCUCGCUGGACCUCUUCUGACGCUGAGGCGCGAAAGCCAGGGGAGCAAACGGGAUUAGAUACCCCCGUAGUCC
RNAcentral lists this ribosomal RNA (430 nucleotides) under uncultured bacterium. RNAcentral describes it as "bacterial SSU rRNA". It matches the Rfam family "Bacterial small subunit ribosomal RNA", at positions 355 to 796 of the family's 1533-position model. The record is from RNAcentral.